RNAcentral lists this ribosomal RNA (254 nucleotides) under uncultured bacterium. Its description in RNAcentral is "partial 16S ribosomal RNA". It matches the Rfam family "Bacterial small subunit ribosomal RNA", at positions 524 to 776 of the family's 1533-position model. The record is from RNAcentral.
UACGGAGGGUGCGAGCGUUGUCCGGAAUCACUGGGCGUAAAGGGCGCGUAGGUGGCCUGUGGAAGUCUGCGGUGAAAGCCCGGCGCUCAACGCCGGGUCGGCCGUGGAUACUCUCGGGCUUGAGCUUACUAGAGGCAGAUGGAAUUCCGGGUGUAGCGGUGGAAUGCGCAGAUAUCAGGAGGAACACCGGUGGCGAAGGCGGGUCUCUGGGCCGAUACUGACGCUGAGGAGCGAAAGCAUGGGUAGCGAACAGG